AAGCAGCAUGGAGCAGAGAGGUAUGUAAUGCCAGGGAUUCUGCACACUGCUGAGUGUUCCAAGGACUCCAUUUGCUGAAUCUAAAAAAGAGAGCGUUUUCUGGAACCUUUCUGGAAAGAAUCAAGCCACUGGCAGCAUGGGCUUUUCUUCACGUCAAGGAACUAUUAUGGGACUUGAAGCAGAUUCGUGUGAAGAACCUAAUUUUCCUAGGGCAGGGAUGAAAGAUGACCCCUUAACAGAAUUUAUUGCUUUCUUGCUGAAGUUACGGAGAAGGCUUGCCCAGGCUGUUGGGACACCUCUGUGUGAAUGCAUAUUUGACAUGUGCCAUGGUGUAGAAGACCUGCAUUCAUUUACACACCUACACAAGAAAGUGAAAUAAUACA
Passer domesticus (house sparrow) is the source of this 383-nucleotide long non-coding RNA. RefSeq lists it as uncharacterized. NCBI's taxonomy places the organism in Eukaryota, Metazoa, Chordata, Aves, Passeriformes, Passeridae. The record is from RefSeq and is a predicted model, not a curated record. The transcript has 4 exons.